Molecule: ribosomal RNA, 253 nt
Filed under: uncultured bacterium
Lineage: Bacteria
Description: partial 16S ribosomal RNA
Rfam family: Bacterial small subunit ribosomal RNA
Source: RNAcentral
UACGAAGGGAGCUAGCGUUGUUCGGAAUCACUGGGCGUAAAGCGCACGUAGGCGGAUGUGUCAGUCAGGGGUGAAAUCCCGGAGCUCAACUUCGGAACUGCCCUUGAUACAGCACGUCUUGAGUCCGGAAGAGGUGAGUGGAAUUCCUAGUGUAGAGGUGAAAUUCGUAGAUAUUAGGAAGAACACCGGUGGCGAAGGCGGCCCACUGGUCCGGUACUGACGCUGAGGUGCGAAAGCGUGGGGAGCAAACAGG